GCACUUGUGCCCAGGGAGCUCCUCAGCCUGAUACCUGCCCCUUCCGUAUCUGAAUGCCUGUUAUUCAUCCGCUGCAGAAGCCGGGAGAUGCACAUAGUAGAAGAGUGUUUGACGGGAUACCUCAGAGGACAAGAAGCUGCAAGCCUAACAUGGAUCAUGUCUCAGUCGCAUCAGAUUUGAUCAGUGGUAAGUGUAUCUGAAACACUCUUUCUAUUCACGUUUCAGGUAAGGCGAGAAUUUACAUAUUUCAGAUAUAAAAAUAACUAUGCCUCUUGCACUCAGGCCCAUACAGUAAAGAACUGCCAGAUCUGGUACUGUGGAGGGGCACCUAACCACUGAGCCAUCUAUUCAGGCCUAGAAUAAAGAUUUUAAUGGUGGACCUAUUAAGGACACAGUCCUAGUAUCAGUAGAAUUAUAUAUCUCUUCAUAUUAGUGCUUUUUUCCUUCAGAAAUAUAUCACUAGACAGUUUUGUCAUUAUGUAACUACUACAGUAUGGGCAUACAUAAACCAAAGUCAGUCUCUUAUUGUGGCCUCUUCAAGGAAUUCAGAGAUACUAAAAAUACAGCAUCUAUGAGGUUAUUACAGGCAUGACAUAACAGAAUAUUUUAUAGCAAUCAUUUUUAAUAAAUAAGAGUGACAUCUAAAAAAAAAAUAACAAAAAUCCAGUCUAUUUAAAUUUUUAAAAAAAGGUAAUGUGUACUGUUCAUGAUUGUAUGUGAUCUGCUGGAACUACAAUAGUUUUGCUGACUCAGACCUCACCUCAAACACAUGGGUAACAUGUUUCACUGAUGUUACUAUAAAGCUAUGAUGUCAUACAAGCCACAUGAGUUUGUCAGCUCCAUUCUAGUCUCAAGAUUAUAUAUCUGUCCAGUCAUUGCCCAGAAAAUUGAUACACAUCUAUGCUUUUCAUUAAAUAAUCAUUACAAAGAAAAUGAUAUUCAUGUGCUCAAAAUCAUUUUAUCCAAGUCAAUGGUCUAGCAUUAAUAUAGUGCUUUAUUCUUUUUUUUUUUUUUUUUUUUUUUUUUUUGGUGUUUUCGAGACAGGGCUUCUCUGUGUAGCCCUGGCUGUCCUGGGAACUCACUCUGUAGACCAAGUUGGCCUCAAACUCAGAAAUCCGCCUGCCUCUGCCCCCCAAGUGCUGGGAUUAAAGGUGUGCGCCACCAUGCCCGGCUAGUGCUUUAUUCUUAUGAGUUCACAGCCUUAUAUACAGUCUAACCAGGGAAAAGGGUACCAUAAUUUAGUAAUAGAACAAAUUUGACACAGGAUACAGGAUACUGAGAGAAGUUCCUCCUGACUGAUUCAUGCCAGGGGAUGUAUUGGUCAUAGGAAAUUUGUCAUGAUUAUUUCCCUGACAUACAUAUGUGUCACUCCAAAAGUUAAGAAAGUAACGACUCACAAAGGAACAGGCACUCCGGCUAUUAGAAGAAAAGGUGACUUUUUGAAAACUUGCAUUGACAGGUCUUAACUUUAGUAUGUGGUGUUUGCCAAUUACCUUUGACUGGCUCUCAAAGAAGUGUGGUUGCAUUACCAGAUUAAGGUUAACAUUAUCUAUCAGGAUAAUUCAUUGACUGUAGCAUUUCUGUUGUUAAGGAUUCCCAAUAUGGUAAAGAAAAUGGAAAAGAAAUAGUUCAGCUGUGUUUUAAGUUAUUAAAGGAAGCAUCGUAUAAAAUACCUUAUUGUAACAAAAAGAACAUGAUUGUACCAUAACUACUAAAAAUGAGUACUCUAAACUAGAUUCUACUUGUAUCGUUUUCUUAUGGUUACCUUCUCUUUUUUUUUUUCAGAGCUUUUAAUUUUAUUUUAUCUGUGUGAGUGUAUUGUGUACAUGUGUAUAUGGGAAACAUGUGCAUUCCUGAUGCCAUGUAGGGUUGGAAGAAGGGAUCAGAUUCCCAGGAACUGCAUUUGAGGGUGUCUUGAAGCUACCCUGUGGAUACUGGAAACCGAACCUGGGUCCUGUACAAACACAAACAUAAUUAAUUGCUGAGCCAUCCCUCCAGUACCCAUUAUUACCUUUAAUACUCCAUCAGAGCACUAAAAUGUGUCCUUUUAAGUUUCAUAAAAAGACAAAUUAGUUUUAUGUUAUGUUAUUCCCUUUGUUAGGGUGAGAUAGUGCUACAGAAUUGUGAAGGAUCCUAAUCCAGAUUUUCUUAUGAAAACAGAACAUUCACGUAAAAAAAAAAACAACAUAGCUAAUUGUAUGAUCUUUUCUUCAAGUAACACAUACCUACCUAAAGACACAUACACAUUCCAAAAGCACCCUCACUGAUAAUCAUUCUUGCACUACCAAAAGACACCCCUCUUCUCCAAUGAGAAAUUACAUAAAAUCAUACACACACACACACACAGACUAGAUUUUUCACAAUAUCAGGAGCUCAGUGGUCUUCAGCUCACCUAUGGGAUUCUUAAACCCCCUCAACACACAUCAGUUACAUGCUAAUGUGAAGCUCCACCACACCACAGUCUGAUUACACGACCAGUUUCCAUGUUCUUUUGAUCAAGGUCUCAAUGAGGAUUGUAAGAAACAACAAAAGAAGAAAUUUUCAAGGAGAAAUCAUCUGCAAAGUUAUUUUUGCAAAUGUGUGGAGGUAACAAC
This 2594-nucleotide long non-coding RNA is filed under the name Mus caroli (Ryukyu mouse). RNAcentral describes it as "predicted gene 16579 (MGP_CAROLIEiJ_G0003700.1)". Lineage: Eukaryota; Metazoa; Chordata; Mammalia; Rodentia; Muridae. The record is from RNAcentral.